This 456-nucleotide ribosomal RNA is filed under the name Globigerinoides sacculifer. RNAcentral's name for it is "bacterial SSU rRNA". It matches the Rfam family "Eukaryotic small subunit ribosomal RNA", at positions 1203 to 1452 of the family's 1831-position model. The record is from RNAcentral. Lineage: Eukaryota; Foraminifera; Rotaliida; Globigerinidae.
ACGCGGGAAAUCUUACCAGGUCCAGACAUAUGGAGGAUUGACAGACAGUUAACCAAAACGCAGCAGCUAGUUUAACAAAACUAACAGCUCUUUCAAGAUUAUGUGGUAGGUGGUGCAUGGCCGUUCUUAGUUCGUGAAGUGAUUCGUUCGCCCAAUCGCAUUUCCAAACAACUAACAACUCAGAAUGCUGGGCAAUAGGACGUUUAAAGUGGCUCCUUACACCUUACAAAGGAAUGGCUGAUGAGAAACAACUCGAUCCGCUCAGCGUUCUAUUGGAAUGCAACGGACGUGAUUGCAAGCUUUUGUUUUGAGUUGCGGUUUUACUGAAAGACUCUACAAUCCGCAAACUUCAAUGAUCUGAAGUAGAAAACCUACAUGCUACAGUGAGAUAUUGUGGAUAAACUUAAGCGACCGCUCCAACAUUGUGUUUUUUUAAAACUGAUGAAGGUUGCGGCA